RNAcentral lists this long non-coding RNA (255 nucleotides) under Malus domestica (apple). RNAcentral describes it as "long non-coding RNA (MDOM_LNC009561)". The record is from RNAcentral. Lineage: Eukaryota; Viridiplantae; Streptophyta; Magnoliopsida; Rosales; Rosaceae.
AAUAGGUUUUGAAUUGUUACCCAUUUUGGGUACUCCUGACUUGGUUGAUGGAUGAUUCUCCACUGCUUGCGUGUAGGAAACCCGGUAUGCCUCGAGGGUAUUUUUGUCCUCUUUUGUCCAAAAGUCCACGUGUCGCCUAGUGAAUAUUUUUGGCUCCACAAAUGCCCCCACACCUGUUGGGCUGCUCGCAGAAAAUGGCAGCAGGUGUAGAGAUCUUCUUGCUUUAGGAAACUUAAGACUGCUUCCUAUUUUGAU